GGGGGGCUGUAUCCCAGGUUGGGAUGCCAUAUCCUGGAUUGGGGUGCUGUAUCCCAGGUUGGGAUGCCAUAUCCUGGAUUGGGGUACCGUGUCCCAGAUUGGGAUGCUGUAUCCCGGGUUGGGGGUGCUGUAUCCCAGGUUGAGAUGCCAUAUCCUGGAUUGGGGUACCAUGUCCCAGAUUGGGAUGCUGUAUCCUGGGUUGGGGGUGCUGUAUCCCAGGUUGGAAUGCCAUAUCCGGGAUUGGGGUACCAUGUCCCAGAUUGGGAUGCUGUAUCCUGGAUUGGGAUGCUGUAUCCCGGGUUGGGGGAGCUGUAUCCCAGGUUGGAAUGCCAUAUCCGGGAUUGGGGUGCUGUAUCCCGGGUUGGGGGUGCUGUAUUCCAUGUUGGGAUGCUGUAUCCUUGUUUGGGGUGCUAUAUUCUGGGUUGGGGUGCUGUAUCCUGGGUUGGGUUC
Pezoporus flaviventris is the source of this 450-nucleotide long non-coding RNA. RefSeq lists it as uncharacterized. The transcript has 3 exons. Lineage: Eukaryota; Metazoa; Chordata; Aves; Psittaciformes; Psittacidae. The record is from RefSeq and is a predicted model, not a curated record.